Nomia melanderi (Alkali bee) is the source of this 4296-nucleotide RNA transcript. RefSeq lists it as uncharacterized. NCBI's taxonomy places the organism in Eukaryota, Metazoa, Arthropoda, Insecta, Hymenoptera, Halictidae. The record is from RefSeq and is a predicted model, not a curated record.
ACUAGCUGCUCCCCGACAAUAGAUCGCGAUAGACUUUGACGGAUAUUGGUGGUGCAUCGUACAGAUUGCCCUAGGCCUGCACAGGUUGCGGACUUGCGUCGCGAUUCUCUGUAUUCGUCUACGUUUAUACGUUUAGCGCGAUACGGUAAGUUUCGUUGAAAAUUUGUUCCAUUGGUCGGAAUUUCGGAAAAUAUUUGUAUAAAAUCGAAAUCUUCGAUCGCCACGCGCACCGCUUCUUACGACGAGAACAAGACAGUUUACUUUUUAUUUCGGACAUUUUAAGAUGAAUCGUCGAUUCGGUUGUUUCGACGAUUGAGCGUUUCAAGGAAAUGCGAAGAGGAACAGCGAAAUAAAUGACGCCGCACGGGAAUUCGAUUCGAUCGAAUUAAACGAGACGUCUGAACGAUACAGAUUUCUGGCCAAGCAAAAGUGGGAAGCAUGGGCCGUAAGAAGUGCCGAAGUAAAAGUUGUCGGUUAUCGAAAGCGGACGGCAACGGCCGUGGUGGCAACGCGAGGAAUCGUCGGGACGAGAGUAGAGCGAAAGAGGAGGACGCUCGGUCCAAGAGCGAGGAAAUUGGAGCCGAUCGCGCGAGCAACGUCCCGAUCGACGUGCACUCGCGACUGAGUUACCCUUUGAUUCGCGGACGCUCGUCGGAGGAUCUCGAGACAUCCUGGUCGAUCGACGAGAGCGACGAGGAGGAAACGAGGUUGGUGUUGACCGUUAAGCCUCGAUUCGUGUUCGUGCCGAGCCUUUGCGCGGUUUGCUUGGAGAGGUCGAAAGUGUUUUGCGAACGCUGCCGAAUGGUCUCGUACUGUUCGCCGGUGCAUCGCGCGCAGGGGCUGCGGCAGCAUCGCGACUUGUGCGGACCACUGACGGAAAUUCGCUCGUCCUUCGCGGCCUCCAUGUCCGUCGAGUCGGAGGAACGGCUCGACGCGGAACGGUACAGGGUGUACAGGUUGCAGUUGCUCGCGAUCCUAGAAUCGAAGAGCGGCAGGCCGUUGAAACUUUGGGAGAGGGAGAUCGUCCUGUAUCCCCGCGUCUGCCGGAUCUGUCGUCGCUUCUCCGAGGAUUUCGAGUGUUGCGCGGCUUGCGGCAUGGAGUCGUUUUGCCGGCAUCACCGGCAACCGCACGACGAGUGGUGCAAGGAGUUCCAGGUGCUGCGAAGGUGUUUGUUUUUGCAGCACAACCACGGCCACGUCGAUCCGAAAAUUCCGAGGGGGCGAGAACGGCUCGCCGGCGGCGAGCUCGCGCUCCCGGGCACCAAUUUCGACGAGUUGACGCAUCGCGUGUACGGAGAUUGCUCGUAUUACCGCGAAAUGGACUGUUACACGUAUGCCAUGCUGUCGCACGUUUGCACGAUCCCUCUGACCACUCUGUACGCGAUGCAGAUCUGUUGCUCCGAAUGGCGAGAGAAACCGGAGCUGAACGUGCACGUGCUCGGGGCGGAGUUUCAAUUCGAGGGUGUAAACUUGCACGUUUGGGAGCGGAUGUUUCUUCACUUUCUGCCGAAGCUGAGAAGGCUCCGAUUGGCACUGGUCGGCCCAGAGCUGGAAUUGCCGAACGGCGUGCCGGCGAAUCUUCUGUCGAAAGUGAACCUGUGCCCCGAGUGCAAGGCUGCCGAUAGGCUCGUGGACGUUCGGUUUCGACCGAGAACGCUCUAUCACGAGUUCGUUCGCGACAGAGUCGAGCACGCGGAGGGGAGGCCCGACCUGAUUUGCGCGUUUAAUCCCGGCCUGUACAGGAAAACAGGUUUCGCGGGGGAGGACACUUGGCCGGAAACGAUACGAGAAUUUUCCAGGAUGUCGACACCCGUCGUCGUCACGUCUUACACGGCGAACGAAAUCUUUUGGGAAAUUAGUAGGAUCAAAUCUAUCGAUCGCGAGGUCGAGGUUCUUUUGGAACCGCAACGAAAUCCAUUCGCAUCGAUUAAACCGGACCGGAAUUUUGUUAGCGACGACACAAAUCCACUGAUAUACAAGAAUUAUUACGUCGCUAUAGUUGCAGGUAAAUCGAUUCGUUCGUGAGUUGCUGCUCGCGAAAAGCGACUCGUUAAAAGCGUCCACUAAAGACUGGCUGUCGCAUUAUAUCCGGUAGCAUCGCUCUUCGUUCGAAACGUCGCGCAGUUUCCUCCAACUUUUCUCGUCCUAUUCAUCUGUCGUAUCGUUGUCGAGUCUUUUUUAUUUCCGCAGAUUUACAAACGCGCGAAUCGAAGUUUGCACCGCUUCCCUGCGACGCGUGGUUGUCGAAUAGCACGGCGUCUAUGCAACCACUUGUACAGUACACUACUCGUUUACCUAGGUACGUAGUUUUGUCGUAACGUAAGAAGGAGGAAGGGAAACGCUCUCGUAUCGAGGCGACGCGAAUUUCAUAUAGCACAUAUGUACAUAUCACAGACGAAAAUGCAAUCGAUCUCGUGUAUUGAUAUUGAAACAGCGAAUUUUUCACGUCGUUCGCACAAGAUUAAUUACCUACUGGCACGUUCAAAAUUGGCUCUAUGAAAAUAAACGUUUGAUCGCGCAGUUAUCUCUCUCUCUCUCUCCCUUCUCCGUCUACCUACUUACGCAUUCAUCCAUCCAUCCAUUCAUCGGUCCUCAUUUGCAUAUCUAUCUAUGUAGGUAUCUAUCUAUCUAUCUAUCUAUCUAUCUAUCUAUCUAUCCACCUAUCCAUCCAUCUACCUAUCAUCUAGAUAACUAGUUAUCCGUCAUUCCGUUCAUCUAUUUGUUUGUGUCUGAUGAAACUUGUAGAUUGCAACGAGUAACGAGCGCAUUAUUAUUCAUUUAUUACGCAUUAGUAAGGUUGCGUCGGUGCGGACAAGUAAUGGAAAUCGCUAGGCAACGAACAAAUAAUCGGACAUGUUCGAAUCCGUAAAAAUAUCGUAGUUGAGCAAACGAGUACCGCGUGACGCGUAUAUAGGCGCCGAGAAGGUAUUCCUUAGCCGCGAUCAGCUCGGACGAAUGUUCGGCUCAAUAAUUUUUCUCGAUGUAAUCGUCGAUCGUUGCGUAACGUCUAGGUAGCGGAAUAUCCCAACGACGUAUGGGAGUAGUUUCCAAGUGUACGGAACGACGAGACCCGGAACGUAUUUGCCCUCUGAAACGUAUUGUCCCGUACGAAUACGAGCUAAUAAUAGAACGCGCGUGGAACGAAUGGCACGGAAGGUAUUAAUAGUAUCGAAACAAGGGUGGAAAGAAGGAGUGCAGGAACGAGCAAGUGAUAUUCGAGUAAGUAUGGCAGUGUUGCGACUACCGAAGGAUUAGAACUGCGAGGAGAUCAAGAGGAGGAGCAUUGUCGAUAAAAGAGCGAACAAGAGGCAACUUUCGUGUGCGGUUCCCAAAUUGGUCACUUGGUAAAAGUAACGAUGAUACGCAUCGUCGCAAUGAGAUGGCCAAUCGUUGAAGCACGCUGCGUACGCUACCACGUGAGCGAUGUAAUUUUGUUCGAAGGUACCGCGAAUCAAGUGGGAAUACGGACCUGAAAGAAAAACCAAUUUUCUAAUCGACCAUUCCGACUUCCGACGCGUUGGAUGGCUCGAACGGUAUUGCGCGAAUAGCAAUCACGGGCGGCGUGUAGAAAGGCAAAGCGAUAAGAAAGGGGGAACCGAGAAACCAAGAAACGAUGGAUGCGGGCAAGCGAUGACGGAUGGCGCGGUGGUUGGACAGGGGAAAAGGAACUGGAGGAGGUAGAGUUGCCGCGUAGUCGGAAGCUGAGCCGUGCUCACCUGCUGCAUAAACACCGACGUCCUCUCCGCCGUGCGUUUCGGUCUUGAUGUAUAUACCGGCCAUAUGGGCGUAGAAAGGUUGGUCGCGUGUCCGAUCCUGAUCGAGGUCCCUCCAAGUUUCGUUGACGUUGUUGCUGUCGUUACGUCUGUGAUAAAAGAAACCCGGCCCAUUGGCAUAACUGAGCGUCUCGUAGGUCGUAACGUUCGAUUUGUUUGGAUCGCUGCCGAACCCAAGAAUAUCGUUUCCCCUCUUCGGGUAGCCAUUCAUCGUGAACGAGUGCGAAUGAUCGGCGGUUACGAUUAUCAAGGUUUCUUCUAGCGAGACUUGUUGCAAGGCUGCCAGUAUAGCUUCCUCGAGCUCCGAAACUUCUCGUAACGCUAAUUUCGCGUAGUUGUGGUGAUGAGCUAUAUCUAUUUUGCCACUUUCGACCUGCGAAGCGUCGGAAAAGACAAAGAUACGACACGGCGGAACUUUCGUAGCGAAUGAAAAUGUUGUCGGUAUUUCUAUAAAAAUACCCUCGAAAGUACAUGUACAAUACGGAAAUGUUUUCAUUGAAAAGAUGCCAAGAAUAAAAAAGAA